Molecule: small RNA, 76 nt
Filed under: Flavobacterium noncentrifugens
Lineage: Bacteria; Pseudomonadati; Bacteroidota; Flavobacteriia; Flavobacteriales; Flavobacteriaceae
Description: Flavo-1 RNA
Rfam family: Flavo-1 RNA
Source: Rfam by way of RNAcentral
GCCUAGCCCUGAUAGAAGCGGCAUCCUUUUAUGUAACGCAGUGGAAUAAAAGAUAGAGCGGAUAGCAGGAAACAGC